This is a long non-coding RNA of Mustela lutreola (European mink), 2516 nucleotides long. RefSeq lists it as uncharacterized. Lineage: Eukaryota; Metazoa; Chordata; Mammalia; Carnivora; Mustelidae. The record is from RefSeq and is a predicted model, not a curated record. The transcript has 3 exons.
CGCCCGGGCCAAGGUGCUACCGAGCCUUCUCGCCCGCACCUGCGUUCCCCGCUCUGUUCGUGGAGGACCGGGUGGCGCGGGGAGCCCCGCUCCUUGCCCUGCACGCACGUCCCAGCACAGGUCUCCGGCAGAAGCCCCGACAUCCUCUGGCCAGAGCAGCCACCUCCCCGAACCCGGGAAGUCUAGGGCCUGAACAAAACACUCCUUCCCUUCAGCAGCUUCCGCCUGCGGCCCGUCCCUUCCCCAGUCCUUCCCGGGCCUCUGUGCAAGGUGCAGCAGGGAGAAGCUGCUGUCAUGGGCAUGAUGAGGCUGGCAGAACAGCCAGGGAGAGCGCUAGCUACUUCCUCCCCUCCGCAGCAGAUAGCACCACACAGUACUGGGCCACCUUUGUGGGAACAGCAGCCACAGCCUCCACGGUUCAGAGGACCAGCCCUCACCCAGCGCUGCUGGGGUGGAAGAGUGUGUCACAGUGAGAAGGGCCAGCGGUGGAGCAGCAGCACAGGAAGGGGUGGGGGUGAGGGCCCAUACUGACCUAGAGGCCCUUUCUCACCACCAGGGACAGACCUCAGGCCCAGAGAUCUGCAGAGGAGUCCCCCAAGCACCACUGUGGUCCUUAAAGAGGCUUGCUCCUGGAUUGCCGAGACAGAAACCUGCCUGUCCUUGAGCAUUUGCAGGGCGGUAUGUGGAAUCCCACGGCAGGGACAUAACACGCAGUAGUGAGCUGCUAGGUCUGCUGGAUGUCUACAUCCCAGCAUUUUAAUCCCUUGUCAGGAGAUUUUGACCCUGUGCCAUAUUCCUGGAACUCCUGGGUCUUCCUGGAACCUGACAAAGGACCAAGAUCUCAACACCAUCCAGCAAACCCAGACACUUCCGGUCAGAGUUAAUAGUCAUCUGUCCAUGGUGGAUCAGUUGCUUAAGGUCACGCAUCUUCCCAAGCUCUCCGGUCCACAGAGAAGAGUAACACAUCACCCCUGCAGUUGGGUUUUUGGAUCUGCUCUCCACUUGCUGACCUGGGACUUGCCUUGGAACACGACAUCUGAACAUAAGUGAUACAGGAGUGGCUGGCACCCCGGUGCAUCUUGAAAGAAGGUUCUGACCUAAGAAGCCUGUUUUGGGGGCUGACCUGCACCCUGAAAGGCAUGUGAGUUCCCUGAGGGAGAGAGUCCGGGGGAUGUGUAGAGACAGGCCUGUGGAGCAGCACCGCCGGGACCUGUCCGCGGGGUGUGGCAGGUACAGAGUGGAACUCAGGCUUGCACAGGGUGAGUGAUAACGCACAGUGUAGACUCUAAGGGCUGGGUUCACUCUCUCUGCUCCAUCUCUCCAGCACAGAGCACAGGCUUGGGGAAAUUCUCCCUGGACUCGGGAAGGUCACCAGCUUCCCGGGUCUCAAAGACCCUCCUGAUCCCACCUAACGUCUCUGGGUGUGCUGACCAUGCAAGUUACCCCCACCUCUCCGGCUGUCCUGUGCUUCUCUCACGCUUCCCUGCAAAUAUAGUUGGUUACGGUGAGUAUUUGCACCACAGAAACUAGCAAGCAUGAAAGUCAGGGCUGCAUCUCACCCCCGAGGCUGGUUUUCAGACACCCAUCACGACACCACCAUUGGUUCUCAGUAUCUCCUGUGUCUACAUGGAUCACACGUGGUCAGCACUCAGGAAGCAGAGCAGUGGUCGUGGCAGCGGUGAAUUUGGGGAACUAAGGUCAUGUGAGGGUACUGGGGACACAUGCAGUGAGGUUCCAGACACUUCCGCAGAGCAAUUUCUUUCCUGCUCACUCGGGCUCCCAGGGUCGGAAAUGCGUCCUCUGCAAUGCUGCAUGAAUGAGUGAGUUCCUUGUUGCAAGUUCCGUUGGGGCAAGUCCUGGAGAGGCAGUGGGAACCAUGGGGGAAGGAGAAGCUGGCCGUUCUGCGGGUUUCUUGAUGCCCGCGGCCCACCGGGCUUCUCCCCUGCUCCGGUGGUUUCCUGCCCUGAGGACGCGCGUCUCUCUUCAGGGUGGGGAGGUGGUGAAUAGACACUAAGAAGGGACAUUGCCUGAGAGGCCAGAAGUGGUCUCUGCCGGGACACUCCAACAAACACCAAGGAGUUUCGAAGGUUGACUGGCGUUUCAAGGGAGCACAGAGUGAUUUGCCAGAAACGAAUCCGCUCAUGUAUCGCGUUUCUGUGCCGAUUGAUCGAAGGCGGUUGGAAGACCCAGGUCUGAGCCGCAGCUCUACGACCAGAAACAUCGCCGGGACCUCUCUGGGCCUUCACAUAAUUAUCUGGUGCGUCGUGAGGAGGACACUUGCCUGCCGCCUGGCCAGCACCGUCAUGUGGCGGCACAUUCUGGGGCGUGGGUGACGUACACAGGUGUGUCCAGCACGGAGCCAAGGAUGCUGGCAUCAGUGCUGCGAAGGGCGGUCUGGGGAGUGUGGCCUGGAGGAGGGAGCCCCGAGCGCGGGUCACCCUCAAGGGCAACUGGGGGACAGGCGUGGAUGCCAGACUCUCCCCGGAGACCCCUUUGUACCUUCUGAAUUUUGAACC